Molecule: long non-coding RNA, 210 nt
Organism: Rhinopithecus roxellana (golden snub-nosed monkey)
Lineage: Eukaryota; Metazoa; Chordata; Mammalia; Primates; Cercopithecidae
Exons: 3
Source: RefSeq, a predicted model, not a curated record
CCUCAACUGGUUACAGGCAAGCAAGGGCUCCUCAGAAUUUGCUUUACUAAUGGUUUAGGACUUUCCAGAUCUGGACUCCGAAGAAGAUGCCCAGGUGUAAGCCCAAAGGCAAUCUUUCUCUCUACUCCAAAUACUACCCGAUACACAGAAAGCUGAACCUAACCCAGUGUAAACACCGAUUCUCAUCUGCUAAAUUCAGCAAGGCCGGCA